UACGUAGGCGGCCAUAUAAGUCAGAAGUGAAAGCCCGGGGCUUAACCCCGGAAGUGCAUUUGAUACUGUCAGGCUUGAGUAUGGGAGAGGGAAGUGGAAUUCCUGGUGUAGAGGUGAAAUUCGUAGAUAUCAGGAGGAACACCGGUGGCGAAGGCGACUUCCUGGACCAAUACUGACGCUGAGGCGCGAAGGCGUGGGGAGCAAACAGGAUUAGAUACCCUGGUAGUCC
RNAcentral lists this ribosomal RNA (229 nucleotides) under uncultured bacterium. Its description in RNAcentral is "partial 16S ribosomal RNA". It matches the Rfam family "Bacterial small subunit ribosomal RNA", at positions 568 to 796 of the family's 1533-position model. The record is from RNAcentral.